CAUCCAAUCAGUACACGGUGGCUACUAUAAAUAGUAGUAAGGCACACGCAGUUGUCAUUUGGCCAAUUGUAGCCAGGUCUUGUAGUUUCUCUUUGCAAUGGCACGUACGAAGCAGACGGCCCGCAAGUCCACCGGCGGCAAGGCCCCGCGCAAGCAGCUGGCUACCAAGGCCGCCCGCAAGAGCGCCCCGGCCACCGGCGGCGUGAAGAAGCCGCACCGCUACCGGCCCGGCACCGUGGCGCUGCGCGAGAUCCGGCGCUACCAAAAGUCCACCGAGCUGCUGAUCCGUAAGCUGCCGUUCCAGCGCCUGGUGCGCGAGAUCGCGCAAGACUUCAAGACCGACCUGCGCUUCCAGAGCUCGGCCGUGAUGGCGCUGCAGGAGGCCAGCGAGGCCUACCUGGUGGGGCUGUUCGAGGACACCAACCUUUUCCGUAGUUGCUAAAGCAUGUCUGGACGCGGCAAGGGCGGGAAGGGCCUCGGCAAGGGCGGCGCCAAGCGCCACCGCAAAGUCCUGCGCGACAACAUCCAGGGCAUCACCAAGCCCGCCAUCCGGCGCCUGGCCCGGCGCGGCGGCGUCAAGCGCAUCUCCGGCCUCAUCUACGAGGAGACCCGCGGGGUGCUGAAGGUCUUCCUGGAGAACGUGAUCCGCGACGCCGUCACCUACACGGAGCACGCCAAGCGCAAGACGGUCACGGCCAUGGACGUGGUCUACGCGCUCAAGCGCCAGGGCCGCACGCUCUACGGCUUCGGCGGCUAAGAUGCCAGAUUUAUUAGUUUGUUUUUUCCUAAUUUUUUGACCCAAAGGCCCUUCUCAGGGCCGCCCACAUACUCAAUACAUGAGCGGUAAUACUUACAUAUGGCCUUAGAUGUGGUGUGCGGUGCCUAUGUAGCUCAACCAAGGGCGCAAAGGCUGAGAAAGUGCGAAGUCCGACCCAGAUGAGCUCAAAGCCCAUGUAAGUAUCUGACCCCGUCGCUGGGUUAAGAUUACAUUGGGGAAAACUUGUGAAGUUUCCUACUGGGAAUGAACAAAACUUUCCCUUGAGCUAGCCCUUUCUGCAGCCAGUUGGAACCAGUGACCUGUCUUCUGAUUGUCUGGAGGCAAGCCGGAGGGGUUAGAAAGUGGCUGCAAGUCCAGGUGAAAUGGAGGAAAAGAACUCGUUCGCUGCAAGGUAGAAUCGAAGACUCCAGAUGUCCCCCGACCAUGUGCAGCGUGCAGAACUGAAAAGAAAGAAACCAGAUUUCUGCUUGAAGUGGCGCCCAGGUUUGGGGAGAGAAAAGGGGGCUUAGGGCUCAGCUUUGCACUGUUAAGUCUUGUUUUUCUCCUUUACAGAAUAGACUUGGUGUUGGA
This is an RNA transcript of Nannospalax galili (Upper Galilee mountains blind mole rat), 1348 nucleotides long. It is a transcript of the gene named histone H3-like, with no coding region annotated. The record is from RefSeq and is a predicted model, not a curated record. The transcript is spliced from 2 exons. Lineage: Eukaryota; Metazoa; Chordata; Mammalia; Rodentia; Spalacidae.